Hemicordylus capensis (graceful crag lizard) is the source of this 621-nucleotide long non-coding RNA. RefSeq lists it as uncharacterized. NCBI's taxonomy places the organism in Eukaryota, Metazoa, Chordata, Lepidosauria, Squamata, Cordylidae. The record is from RefSeq and is a predicted model, not a curated record. The transcript has 4 exons.
UGAAGAAGGUGGAAGAUGAAACAUCUUGUGCAUUAUAUUUCUGUUUGUUAUUUCCCUCUCUCUCUCCCCCCGACCCUCGUUGAGGAUAUGGACAGAACAAAUGCUGCUUCUUGAAUUUCCUUGGAGUUGGGAGCAAUGAAAUGGGAAGGACUCAGGGACAAGGUUGGGAACGUCAAUGAAGGAAGCCCCUGGAUGAAAUGGAUAGGAUACACCCUCUCCAAGAAAAAAGUCAGGACAGCUGGCAUUGCAGCUCCAUCUACCACAAAACAAGGAAGCAAGAAAGGCUGUCAGUCACAGAUGGCUUAAUUAGUCCUCAGAGUAUGCCACCAAAAGAGUCUUCUUAGUUGCCGUGAUGUUGCCCAGGUGGCCCAACAAGCUGGCGAUCCCACGACCAACGUAGGUCUGCGUUGCCUGCUGCCAGCUCUCCUGCUCCUCACUGCCAUUCUGUCUCACAAAGGGCAAGUUCCCUCGUCCUUUGUCUCCAGCCUGCCCACUCCUUGCCGCUACUGACAACGCACAGCUGCUUCUAUGUGCCAAAGUCUCAAUCCCACUAUUUAGUCUUCGCGCUAUUUGUAUCCCUUUUCCUCCUCUCUCUCUCUUAAACUGUCCUCCCCUCCUUAA